UCGGCGCAACAUCUGUGGUCAUAUGCCGGAGAGAGACAGAAGGGGUAGGAAUUAUAGGAGAAGGGAAAGUUUGGUUUAGUCGGCGCAACAUCUGUGAUCAUAUGCCGGAGAGAGACAUAAGGGAAAGGAAUUAUAGGAGAAGGGAAAGUUUUGUUUAGUGGGCGCAACAUCUGUGGUCAUAUGCCGGAGAGAGACAGAAGGGGAAGGAAUUAUAGGAGAAGGGAAAGUUUUGUUUAGUCGGCGCAACAUCUGUGGUCAUAUGCCGGAGAGAGACAGAAGGGGAAGGAAUUAUAGGAGAAGGGAAAGUUUUGUUUAGUGGGCGCAACAUCUGUGGUCAUAUGCCGGAGAGAGACAGAAGGGGUAGGAAUUAUAGGAGAAGGGAAAGUUUUGUUUAGUGGGCGCAACAUCUGUGGUCAUAUGCCGGAGAGAGACAGAAGGGGUAGGAAUUACAGGAGAAGGGAAAGUUUUGUUUAGUGGGCGCAACAUCUGUGGUCAUAUGCCGGAGAGAGACAGAAGGGGAAGGAAUUAUAGGAGAAGGGAAAGUUUUGUUUAGUCGGCGCAACAUCUGUGGUCAUAUGCCGGAGAGAGACAGAAGGGGAAGGAAUUAUAGAAGGGAAAGUUUUGUUUAGUGGGCGCAACAUCUGUGGUCAUAUGCCGGAGAGAGACAGAAGGGGAAGGAAUUAUAGAAGGGAAAGUUUCGUUUAGUGGGCGCAACAUCUGUGGUCAUACGCCGGAGAGAGACAGAAGGGGAAGGAAUUAUAGGAGAAGGGAAAGUUUUGUUUAGUGGGCGCAACAUCUGUGGUCAUAUGCCGGAGAGAGACAGAAGGGGAAGGAAUUAUAGGAGAAGGGAAAGUUUGGUUUAGUCGGCGCAACAUCUGUGGUCAUAUGCCGGAGAGAGACAGAAGGGGAAGGAAUUAUAGGAGAAGGGAACA
Eriocheir sinensis (Chinese mitten crab) is the source of this 932-nucleotide long non-coding RNA. RefSeq lists it as uncharacterized. Lineage: Eukaryota; Metazoa; Arthropoda; Malacostraca; Decapoda; Varunidae. The record is from RefSeq and is a predicted model, not a curated record. The transcript is spliced from 2 exons.